UCGUAGUUGAAUCUGUGUCCCGCGCUGUCGGUUCACCGCCCGCGGUGUUUAACUGGCACGUCCGCGGGACGUCCUGCCGGUGGGCCCGUCCUGUGCGUUUCGGCGUACGGCGGCCCGACUCACAAUCCCGCUUCGGUGCUCUUGACUGAGUGUCGAGGUGGGCCGGCACGUUUACUUUGAACAAAUUAGAGUGCUCAAAGCAGGCCGAAAUCACGCCUGAAUACUGUGUGCAUGGAAUAAUGGAACAGGACCUCGGUUCUAUUUUGUUGGUUUUCGGAAUUCCGAGGUAAUGAUUAAUAGGGACAGAUGGGGGCAUUCGUAUUGCGACGUUAGAGGUGAAAUUCUUGGAUCG
Molecule: ribosomal RNA, 352 nt
Filed under: Elaphrus cupreus
Lineage: Eukaryota; Metazoa; Arthropoda; Insecta; Coleoptera; Carabidae
Description: SSU rRNA
Rfam family: Eukaryotic small subunit ribosomal RNA (bases 158-352)
Source: RNAcentral